This 458-nucleotide ribosomal RNA is filed under the name uncultured bacterium. RNAcentral describes it as "bacterial SSU rRNA". It matches the Rfam family "Bacterial small subunit ribosomal RNA", at positions 30 to 504 of the family's 1533-position model. The record is from RNAcentral.
UGAACGCUAGCGGCGUGCCUAAUGCAUGCAAGUCGAACGGGAUCCUUUGGACUCGUCUGAAGGUGAGAGUGGCGAACGGGUGAGUAUCGCGUUGGUGACCUGCCCCAGAGAGGGGGACAACCAGUGGAAACGCUGGCUAAUACCCCAGAUGUCAUUGUGUUUAGAAAGCAAUGACUAAAGCUCCGGCGCUCUGGGAGGGGCCUGCGUCCCAUCAGCUUGUUGGUAGGGUAAUGGCCUACCAAGGCUAAGACGGGUAGGGGGCGUGAGAGCGUGGCCCCCCACACUGGUACUGAAACACGGACCAGAUACCUACGGGUAGCAGCAGCAAGGAAUAUUGCCCAAUGGACGAAAGUCUGAGGCAGCAACGCCGCGUGGAGGAUGAAGGCCUUCGGGUUGUAAACUCCUUUUCUGGGGGAAGAGAUAGGACGGUACCCCAGGAAUAAGGCCCGGCUAACUAC